Molecule: ribosomal RNA, 2925 nt
Filed under: Enterobacter cloacae
Lineage: Bacteria; Pseudomonadati; Pseudomonadota; Gammaproteobacteria; Enterobacterales; Enterobacteriaceae
Description: 23S ribosomal RNA
Rfam family: Bacterial large subunit ribosomal RNA
Source: RNAcentral
GGGUUGUGAGGUUAAGCGACUAAGCGUACACGGUGGAUGCCCUGGCAGUCAGAGGCGAUGAAGGACGUGCUAAUCUGCGAAAAGCGCCGGCGAGGUGAUAUGAACCCUUGACCCGGCGAUGUCCGAAUGGGGAAACCCAGUGCAAUCCGUUGCACUAUCGUUAACUGAAUACAUAGGUUAACGAGGCGAACCGGGGGAACUGAAACAUCUAAGUACCCCGAGGAAAAGAAAUCAACCGAGAUUCCCCCAGUAGCGGCGAGCGAACGGGGAGCAGCCCAGAGUCUGAAUCAGCUUGUGUGUUAGUGGAAGCGUCUGGAAAGUCGCACGGUACAGGGUGAAAGUCCCGUACACGAAAACGCACAGGCUGUGAACUCGAAGAGUAGGGCGGGACACGUGGUAUCCUGUCUGAAUAUGGGGGGACCAUCCUCCAAGGCUAAAUACUCCUGACUGACCGAUAGUGAACCAGUACCGUGAGGGAAAGGCGAAAAGAACCCCGGCGAGGGGAGUGAAAAAGAACCUGAAACCGUGUACGUACAAGCAGUGGGAGCACCUUCGGGUGUGACUGCGUACCUUUUGUAUAAUGGGUCAGCGACUUAUAUUCUGUAGCAAGGUUAACCGUAUAGGGGAGCCGAAGGGAAACCGAGUCUUAACUGGGCGUUAAGUUGCAGGGUAUAGACCCGAAACCCGGUGAUCUAGCCAUGGGCAGGUUGAAGGUUGGGUAACACUAACUGGAGGACCGAACCGACUAAUGUUGAAAAAUUAGCGGAUGACCUGUGGCUGGGGGUGAAAGGCCAAUCAAACCGGGAGAUAGCUGGUUCUCCCCGAAAGCUAUUUAGGUAGCGCCUCGUGAACUCAUCUUCGGGGGUAGAGCACUGUUUCGGCUAGGGGGCCAUCCCGGCUUACCAACCCGAUGCAAACUACGAAUACCGAAGAAUGUUAUCACGGGAGACACACGGCGGGUGCUAACGUCCGUCGUGAAGAGGGAAACAACCCAGACCGCCAGCUAAGGUCCCAAAGUCAUGGUUAAGUGGGAAACGAUGUGGGAAGGCCCAGACAGCCAGGAUGUUGGCUUAGAAGCAGCCAUCAUUUAAAGAAAGCGUAAUAGCUCACUGGUCGAGUCGGCCUGCGCGGAAGAUGUAACGGGGCUAAACCAUGCACCGAAGCUGCGGCAGCGACGCUUAUGCGUUGUUGGGUAGGGGAGCGUUCUGUAAGCCGUUGAAGGUGGCCUGUGAGGGUUGCUGGAGGUAUCAGAAGUGCGAAUGCUGACAUAAGUAACGAUAAAGCGGGUGAAAAGCCCGCUCGCCGGAAGACCAAGGGUUCCUGUCCAACGUUAAUCGGGGCAGGGUGAGUCGACCCCUAAGGCGAGGCCGAAAGGCGUAGUCGAUGGGAAACAGGUUAAUAUUCCUGUACUUGGUGUUACUGCGAAGGGGGGACGGAGAAGGCUAUGUUAGCCGGGCGACGGUUGUCCCGGUUUAAGCAUGUAGGCGGAGGUUCCAGGUAAAUCCGGUACCUUUUAACGCUGAGGUGUGAUGACGAGGCACUACGGUGCUGAAGUAACAAAUGCCCUGCUUCCAGGAAAAGCCUCUAAGCAUCAGGUAACAUCAAAUCGUACCCCAAACCGACACAGGUGGUCAGGUAGAGAAUACCAAGGCGCUUGAGAGAACUCGGGUGAAGGAACUAGGCAAAAUGGUGCCGUAACUUCGGGAGAAGGCACGCUGAUAUGUAGGUGAAGCCCCUGCGGGUGGAGCUGAAAUCAGUCGAAGAUACCAGCUGGCUGCAACUGUUUAUUAAAAACACAGCACUGUGCAAACACGAAAGUGGACGUAUACGGUGUGACGCCUGCCCGGUGCCGGAAGGUUAAUUGAUGGGGUUAGCGGUAACGCGAAGCUCUUGAUCGAAGCCCCGGUAAACGGCGGCCGUAACUAUAACGGUCCUAAGGUAGCGAAAUUCCUUGUCGGGUAAGUUCCGACCUGCACGAAUGGCGUAAUGAUGGCCAGGCUGUCUCCACCCGAGACUCAGUGAAAUUGAACUCGCUGUGAAGAUGCAGUGUACCCGCGGCAAGACGGAAAGACCCCGUGAACCUUUACUAUAGCUUGACACUGAACACUGGUCCUUGAUGUGUAGGAUAGGUGGGAGGCUUUGAAGCGUGGACGCCAGUCUGCGUGGAGCCAUCCUUGAAAUACCACCCUUUAAUGGCUGGUGUUCUAACGUAGACCCGUAAUCCGGGUUGCGGACAGUGUCUGGUGGGUAGUUUGACUGGGGCGGUCUCCUCCCAAAGAGUAACGGAGGAGCACGAAGGUUAGCUAAUCCUGGUCGGACAUCAGGAGGUUAGUGCAAUGGCAUAAGCUAGCUUGACUGCGAGAGUGACGGCUCGAGCAGGUGCGAAAGCAGGUCAUAGUGAUCCGGUGGUUCUGAAUGGAAGGGCCAUCGCUCAACGGAUAAAAGGUACUCCGGGGAUAACAGGCUGAUACCGCCCAAGAGUUCAUAUCGACGGCGGUGUUUGGCACCUCGAUGUCGGCUCAUCACAUCCUGGGGCUGAAGUAGGUCCCAAGGGUAUGGCUGUUCGCCAUUUAAAGUGGUACGCGAGCUGGGUUUAGAACGUCGUGAGACAGUUCGGUCCCUAUCUGCCGUGGGCGCUGGAGAAUUGAGGGGGGCUGCUCCUAGUACGAGAGGACCGGAGUGGACGCAUCACUGGUGUUCGGGUUGUCAUGCCAAUGGCACUGCCCGGUAGCUAAAUGCGGAAGAGAUAAGUGCUGAAAGCAUCUAAGCACGAAACUUGCCCCGAGAUGAGUUCUCCCUGAGACUUAAAGUCUCCUGAAGGAACGUUGAAGACGACGACGUUGAUAGGUCGGGUGUGUAAGCGCAGCGAUGCGUUGAGCUAACCGAUACUAAUGAACCGUGAGGCUUAACCUUACAACGCCGAAG